This 24-nucleotide non-coding RNA is filed under the name Arabidopsis thaliana (thale cress). The record is from RNAcentral. Lineage: Eukaryota; Viridiplantae; Streptophyta; Magnoliopsida; Brassicales; Brassicaceae.
UCUCUCUUUCCUCGAAAUCCGUGC